UUGAACGCUGGCGGCAUGCCUUACCCAUGCCAGUCGAACGGCAGCGCGGACUUCGGUCUGGCGGCGAGUGGCGAACGGGUGAGUAAUACAUCGGAACGUACCCUGUUGUGGGGGAUAACUAGUCGAAAGAUUAGCUAAUACCGCAUACGACCUGAGGGUGAAAGUGGGGGACCGCAAGGCCUCACGCAGCAGGAGCGGCCGAUGUCUGAUUAGCUAGUUGGUGGGGUAAAGGCCCACCAAGGCGACGAUCAGUAGCUGGUCUGAGAGGACGAUCAGCCACACUGGGACUGAGACACGGCCCAGACUCCUACGGGAGGCAGCAGUGGGGAAUUUUGGACAAUGGGGGCAACCCUGAUCCAGCAAUGCCGCGUGUGUGAAGAAGGCCUUCGGGUUGUAAAGCACUUUUGUCCGGAAAGAAAUCGCGCUGGUUAAUACCUGGCGUGGAUGACGGUACCGGAAGAAUAAGCACCGGCUAACUACGUG
Molecule: ribosomal RNA, 483 nt
Filed under: uncultured bacterium
Lineage: Bacteria
Description: partial 16S ribosomal RNA
Rfam family: Bacterial small subunit ribosomal RNA
Source: RNAcentral